RNAcentral lists this long non-coding RNA (1165 nucleotides) under Salmo salar (Atlantic salmon). RNAcentral describes it as "lncRNA (ENSSSAG00000082807.1)". The record is from RNAcentral. Lineage: Eukaryota; Metazoa; Chordata; Actinopteri; Salmoniformes; Salmonidae.
AAAAAAGGAAGUUGGAAGUUGUUGACUCAGGAAAGGACAUGACUUCAUUGGCACGAUUCACGUGAGAGUUAGCUGUGUUCCAUUACAUUUUUCAAGACAUUGGAAUCGUCCUGUUGGAAUAUUAUUGAAGUUUUCUGUUAAAAAGGCCCUAAAGAUUGAUGCUAUACAUCGUUUGACAUGUUUCUACGAACGUAAAUAUAACUUUUUUUGACAUUUCGUCUUUAAAUUUAACGCGCUUCCUACAUUUGGAGUAGCUUACUGAACGCGUAAACAACAAGGAGGUAUUUGGACAUAAAUUAUGGACUUUAUCGAACAAAACAACAUUUAUUGUGGACCUAGGAUUCCUGGGAGUGGAUUCUGAUGAAGAUCAUCAAAGGAAGAACACAGGACAGAGAGCUUUGGCUCUCUCAUACACUCAUUCAUGCAGGUGAAGUAAAAUCAAGUUGGACUCAGCCUCCUGCAGGAGAGAACACCACAAAAUCAAGCAGUUACCAAAACAACUUGGGGCUCGGACAUUGUUCCACAAGGAUGAAUGACUCUUCAGGAAAUGACACUGACCUUGACCACCUGGAUCUUGCUUGCUUGGACCAGGCCUUUGUUGUGAUAUGGCUGAUUUUUGCUGUGCAGGCCCUGUGCUUCCUCCUGGGGACGCCAGCUCUGGUCUGGUGCCUUUGGCUCUCUCUGAGUGGAAGUCUCUCUGGAGGUCUUAAACCCACUCAGGUCUUUCCUAUUAACCUGUUUGCAGUGGAGCUGAUGUUCUGUGUCCAGGUUCUCCUUAACGUGGUCAACUACCUCAUCCAGAAUGACAUGUUCCUGCAGGCUGUGUAUUUCCUCUAUGACCUCUCCUGGACCUGCAGGCCCCUGAUCCAGAGCUGCAUCUGUGUGGAGCACUACCUGGCGGUGGCCCAACCUGUGGCUUUCCUCAAGUACAGAUUCCGGAGGUACAGGGUGGCAUGUUCAACCAUGGUCUGGGUGUUGUCCCUCACUUAUGCCUGUUUUGGUAUGCUUUUAAUGAGUUCUAAGGAAAAAGCAGAUUAUGUGCUCAUUGGUGUCUAUUGCCUUGGGAUGGCCGUCAUUUCUCUCUGCUACUUCUUCAUACUGCGUGUGCUGAAGCAGCCUGGUCCAGGAGAGGUAGAGGGGGGCAGAGGGGGAGAGAAGAAACAGG